RNAcentral lists this ribosomal RNA (512 nucleotides) under uncultured delta proteobacterium. RNAcentral describes it as "bacterial SSU rRNA". It matches the Rfam family "Bacterial small subunit ribosomal RNA", at positions 40 to 523 of the family's 1533-position model. The record is from RNAcentral. Lineage: Bacteria; Deltaproteobacteria.
CGGCGUGCUUAACACAUGCAAAGUCGUGCGGGAAAACGGGACUUUCGGGUCCUGAGUAGAGCGGCGCACCGGGUGCGUAAGACGCGGGUGACCUAUCCGCGAGGCGGGGGAUAACCCUUCGAAAGAGGGGCUAAUACCGGAUGCGCCCCCGGGCAGAGAUGCCCGGGGGCAAAGGGUGCUCUUUGAUAGGGCAUCCCCUCGUGGCGGGGCCCCGCGGCCUAUCAGCUCGUUGGUAAGGUAAUGGCUUACCAAGGCGAAGACGGGUAGCUGGUCUGAGAGGAUGGCCAGCCACACGGGGACUGAGACACGGCCCCGACUCCUACGGGAGGCAGCAGUGGGGAAUAUUGGGCAAUGGGCGCAAGCCUGACCCAGCGACGCCGCGUGGGUGAUGAAGGCCUUCGGGUCGUAAAGCCCUGUCGGGUGGGAAGAAUGACUGUGGGGCGAAUAGCUCUACGGUGUGACGGUACCACCGAAGGAAGCACCGGCCAAUUCCGUGCCAGCAGCCGCGGUAA